GUAAGUUUAGUUUUUAAUACAUUUAUAUUGUGAUCAGUUAUUACAUAGCACAGUAGCUAACACUCCAGACAUAGAAAUAUGGAGUAAUUUAAGGACCCUAGAAUAGGCAUUAAAUUGAAUUAAUGCAUGUAUAAAAUCUUUGUGCACCUCACUACUUAAUAAUAAAGGAAGGCCUAAUUGCAAAUUGUGUUUGGAGCAGAAUGAGAGGCCACCAAUGCCGGAGAGUUGCCAGCCAGCACUAGCACACCUCAUAAAGCGUUAGUUGCUGGGCGGCGAACCCAUCGAAGAGGCCGGACUUCGGGGACAUAGUGGCCACUCUUGAGAAGUACGAUGAAUGUGUGAAGGAGGGACUUCCCUUAACUCAUCAUUCAAGACUUGUCAGCAGUAACCUCAUUGAACGCUUAAAAGGCUGCGUCUCCAUGAGUUCCUCCAUACGUGUACAUGCUUAACUCCCUCCCCUUCCAUACCCCUUCCUCCAAUAAAGAACACCAAAAGGCCAUCAAUAGAACCAGCUGCGUCUGCAAUAGGCAUUGAAGAACACCGUUAAUUGUUUGUUGGAUGAGAUAACAAACCGAAAAUGCAGUAAUUCACUGUGAAAAUUGUCACAGAAUAUUGCAAAAUCUAGCUCAGCCAACUAUAUCUUUGUAUUCAUUAAGACUCAUAUGGAGUCCAUAUGUAUAAGGUUGUAGCUGUUAA
Non-coding RNA from Arachis ipaensis, 696 nucleotides. NCBI's taxonomy places the organism in Eukaryota, Viridiplantae, Streptophyta, Magnoliopsida, Fabales, Fabaceae. The record is from RefSeq and is a predicted model, not a curated record.